GAAAGAGAACGCGUAAACGAUUCCUCCCCGAUUGGAUGUCUACGACCCGCGGAAGCCUUUGCAGACUACUAGGCCUCCCUUUAGAGAGCGAACGACUUGAAAAACAAAUCGACCCGCGUGCAAGUUCGGCCUGGCGCCGGCGACGCUCUCGAAUUGCGGGGAACCCCUAAAGCCAUCCGCACCCAGCCAGCCGGGGAGAACCCGCUGGCGACGGUAACAGCCGGAUGGAUGAGCCGCCCCUGGCGGCGAAAUGGGCGAUCCGCAUCGAAUCCCCUACAGCCUCGCGGGGCCAUGGGGAACGUUCACAGACCUGGCGGGAGCGGGUGGGGCGAACGAGCCCCGCUCCAAGAUAAGGUCGGACCCCACCGAGAGAUCGGGGGAGGUUGGCAGCGUUCCCGUAGGUGAACCUGCGGAAGGAUCAUUAUCGAGGAGCUUCGGCUCCAUCGAGAAUAACACCCUUGCCCUUACGAGCACCUAUCCGUUUCCUCGGCGGUCAUUCGGCCGCCAACGGGGACCCCAUCAAACGCUUUGCAAAUGAGAAGUAAACCGUCUGAUACAAAACAAAAUAUCACGAACUUUCAACGAUGGAUCUCUUGGCUCUGGGCAUCGAUGAAGAACGCAGCGAAAUGCGAUAAGUAGUGUGAAAUUUGCAGAAAUUCCGUGAAUCAUCGAAUCUUUGAACGCACAUUUGCGCCCUUUGGCAUUUCCAUAGGGCAUGCCUGUUCGAGCGUCAUUUCAAACCUCAAAGCUCCGCUUGGUCUUUGGGCGAUCGUCCCGCCUCCGCGCGCGGACCCGUCCUCAAAAUGCAUUGGCGGCCGGCAAUCCGGGCUAUGAGCGCAGCAAGAAUCGCGCCUUCUAACCGGGUAGCAGGGGCUCCAGCAAGCACCUCUUCCACGUUUUGACCUCGGAAUCAGGCAGGGUUUACCCGCCUGAACUUAAGCAUAUCAAUUAAGCGGGAGGAAAAGAAACCAACAGGGAUUGCCCUAGUAACGGCGAGUGAAGCGGCAACAGCUUCAAAAUUUGAAAAUCUGGGCUUUGCCUCGCGCGAGUCCGAGUUGUAAUUUGCAGAGGGCGCUUUUGGCGUCGGCUGGCGGCCUAAGUCCCCUUGGAAACGGGGCGUCAGAGAGAGGUGAGAAUUCCCGUUCUGCGGCCGCCGGCCUUCGCCGUGUAAAGCCCCUUUCGACAGAGUCCGAGUUGUUUGGGAAUGCAGCUCUAAAUGGGAGGUAAAUUUCUUCUAAAGCUAAAUACCGGGCCAGAGACCGAUAGCGCACAAGUAGAGUGAUCGAAAGAUGAAAAGCACUUUGGAAAGAGAGUCAAAAAGCACGUGAAAUCGUUGAAAGGGAAGCGCUUGCAGCCAGACGUGCCCGCGGAGGCUCAUCCAGGCUUUUGCCUGGUGCACUCCCCCGCGGGCAGGCCAGCAUCAUCCCCGGAGCGAA
Molecule: ribosomal RNA, 1436 nt
Filed under: Ascomycota sp. L566
Lineage: Eukaryota; Fungi; Ascomycota
Description: eukaryotic LSU rRNA
Rfam family: Eukaryotic large subunit ribosomal RNA (bases 900-1436)
Source: RNAcentral